RNAcentral lists this ribosomal RNA (234 nucleotides) under uncultured bacterium. RNAcentral's name for it is "partial 16S ribosomal RNA". It matches the Rfam family "Bacterial small subunit ribosomal RNA", at positions 118 to 350 of the family's 1533-position model. The record is from RNAcentral.
UGGGUGAUCUGCCCUGCACUCUGGGAUAAGCCUGGGAAACUGGGUCUAAUACCGGAUAUACCUCAUGGACUGCGUGGUUUGUGGGGAAAGCUUUUGCGGUGUGGGAUGGGCCCGCGGCCUAUCAGCUUGUUGGGUGGGGUGAUGGCCUACCAAGGCGACGACGGGUAGCCGGCCUGAGAGGGUGUCCGGCCACACUGGGACUGAGACACGGCCCAGACCUCCGUACGGGGAGCA